UCUCCGGGUAGUCGGUUACUUCCUCAUCAGAGAUCACUGCCGCGGCCUCUGUCUCAUCUUGGGAUUCAUACUCGCCAUCCCCCUUAAGGACCAUCACUCGUUUGUUUAGACAAUCCCGAGCGUAGUGGCCCUUGCCCUGACACUUAUAGCAAAUGAUGUCACGAGUACGCAAUGACUAGGCUUGAGUCUUACCCUGCUCCGGUUUGGAUGCAUUAGACGAUUCAGCCUGGUUUGUCUUGAAUCGGCUCUCAAUCUCAAUCGUCUUGCCCUUGUCGCCUUGCUUUGAGCCCGGUUGAGUCCAGCAGGUUUGCUGCGGUUGGUGCUGGCCGUCUUGUGCUUGAUGUGCUGCUCGGCUUGCGUAGCAAAGUGCAACAGGUCGUUGAAGUCUUCAUACUGUUGCCUCUCCACCUUGCGGGCAAUGCGGUCUUGCAGCCCUUCCAGAAAUUGGGACAUCAUUGUCUCUUCGGGCUCGUCGG
RNAcentral lists this long non-coding RNA (476 nucleotides) under Brassica napus (rape). RNAcentral's name for it is "long non-coding RNA (BNAP_LNC002751)". The record is from RNAcentral. Lineage: Eukaryota; Viridiplantae; Streptophyta; Magnoliopsida; Brassicales; Brassicaceae.